CGGACGGGUGAGUAAUGUCUGGGAAACUGCCCGAUGGAGGGGGAUAACUACUGGAAACGGUAGCCAAUACCGCAUAACGUCGCAAGACCAAAGAGGGGGACCUUAGGGCCUCUUGCCAUCGGAUGUGCCCAGAUGGGAUUAGCUAGUAGGUGGGGUAACGGCUCACCUAGGCGACGAUCCCUAGCUGGUCUGAGAGGAUGACCAGCCACACUGGAACUGAGACACGGUCCAG
RNAcentral lists this ribosomal RNA (232 nucleotides) under uncultured bacterium. RNAcentral's name for it is "partial 16S ribosomal RNA". It matches the Rfam family "Bacterial small subunit ribosomal RNA", at positions 99 to 334 of the family's 1533-position model. The record is from RNAcentral.